CAGUAGCCGCGGGAAUACGAAGGGUGCGAGCGUUAAUCGGAAUUACUGGGCGUAAAGCGUGCGUAGGCGGUUUGUUAAGUCUGUUGUGAAAUCCCCGGGCUCAACCUGGGAAUGGCAAUGGAUACUGGCAAGCUAGAGUGUGUCAGAGGAUGGUGGAAUUCCCGGUGUAGCGGUGAAAUGCGUAGAGAUCGGGAGGAAAAUCAGUGGCGAAGGCGGCCAUCUGGGACAACACUGACGCUGAGGCACGAAAGCGUGGGGAGCAAACAGGAUUAGAUACCCCGGUAGUCCCUGUCUCUUAUAC
Molecule: ribosomal RNA, 301 nt
Filed under: uncultured bacterium
Lineage: Bacteria
Description: partial 16S ribosomal RNA
Rfam family: Bacterial small subunit ribosomal RNA
Source: RNAcentral